RNAcentral lists this ribosomal RNA (403 nucleotides) under uncultured bacterium. RNAcentral's name for it is "bacterial SSU rRNA". It matches the Rfam family "Bacterial small subunit ribosomal RNA", at positions 355 to 775 of the family's 1533-position model. The record is from RNAcentral.
UGGGGGAUAUUGCACAAUGGGGGAAACCCUGAUGCAGCGACGCCGCGUGGAGGAAGAAGGUUUUCGGAUUGUAAACUCCUGUCGUUAGGGACGAUAAUGACGGUACCUAACAAGAAAGCACCGGCUAACUACGUGCCAGCAGCCGCGGUAAAACGUAGGGUGCAAGCGUUGUCCGGAAUUACUGGGUGUAAAGGGAGCGCAGGCGGGAAGACAAGUUGGAAGUGAAAACCAUGGGCUCAACCCAUGAAUUGCUUUCAAAACUGUUUUUCUUGAGUAGUGCAGAGGUAGAUGGAAUUCCCGGUGUAGCGGUGGAAUGCGUAGAUAUCGGGAGGAACACCAGUGGCGAAGGCGGUCUACUGGGCACCAACUGACGCUGAGGCUCGAAAGCAUGGGUAGCAAACAG